This 483-nucleotide ribosomal RNA is filed under the name uncultured bacterium. RNAcentral describes it as "partial 16S ribosomal RNA". It matches the Rfam family "Bacterial small subunit ribosomal RNA", at positions 30 to 506 of the family's 1533-position model. The record is from RNAcentral.
AUUGAACGCUGGCGGCAGGCCUAACACAUGCAAGUCGAGCGGAUGAAGGGAGCUUGCUCCUGGAUUCAGCGGCGGACGGGUGAGUAAUGCCUAGGAAUCUGCCUGGUAGUGGGGGAUAACGUCCGGAAACGGGCGCUAAUACCGCAUACGUCCUGAGGGAGAAAGUGGGGGAUCUUCGGACCUCACGCUAUCAGAUGAGCCUAGGUCGGAUUAGCUAGUUGGUGGGGUAAAGGCCUACCAAGGCGACGAUCCGUAACUGGUCUGAGAGGAUGAUCAGUCACACUGGAGCUGAGACGCGGUCCAGGCUCCUACGGGAGGCAGCAGUGGGGAAUGUUGGACGAUGGGCGAAAGCCUGAUCCAGCCAUGCCGCGUGUGUGAAGAAGGUCUUCGGAUGGUAAAGCACUUUAAGUUGGGAGGAAGGGCAGUAAGUUAAUACCUUGCUGUUUUGCCGUUACCAACAGAAUAAGCACCGGCUAACUUCUU